GACCACUAUGCCUCGUAUUGUCCUGAUCGAUUGUUGAAAUUGC
Molecule: small RNA, 43 nt
Filed under: Arabidopsis thaliana (thale cress)
Lineage: Eukaryota; Viridiplantae; Streptophyta; Magnoliopsida; Brassicales; Brassicaceae
Description: ATSL276090
Source: RNAcentral